Molecule: transfer RNA, 73 nt
Organism: Ovis aries (sheep)
Lineage: Eukaryota; Metazoa; Chordata; Mammalia; Artiodactyla; Bovidae
Rfam family: tRNA
About the family: Transfer RNA (tRNA) molecules are approximately 80 nucleotides in length. Their secondary structure includes four short double-helical elements and three loops (D, anti-codon, and T loops).
Source: Rfam
UCCCCGGUGGUCCAGUGGUUAGGACUCUGUGCUUUCAUUGCUGAGGGCCUGGGUUCAAUCCCUGGUUGGGGAA